This is a long non-coding RNA of Hemibagrus wyckioides, 665 nucleotides long. RefSeq lists it as uncharacterized. NCBI's taxonomy places the organism in Eukaryota, Metazoa, Chordata, Actinopteri, Siluriformes, Bagridae. The transcript has 3 exons. The record is from RefSeq and is a predicted model, not a curated record.
GCUUUAAUGAAUAAGCUAAGCAAAACCCAUUACUUGUUCAUGUUGAGCAGACCUGGCCAAACCAGCUGUCUGGUUUUCUAACUACAGUAACCUCUAAACUGGCACCUGACAGAUGCAUUUUUAAUCCUGUCUGCUCCUGCAACAGGUGGAACAGUGAUUCAUCAUUCAGAGACAGAGAGGGCAGACUUCCUCUGGCCAUAAUGAAUGGGUCUAAGAUGUUACAGUGUCCUGAAACUGCCUACAGGGUCACAGGAAACUUUGAAUCUGUCCCAGGGGACUUGGGGCACAACUGAACACACAUUCACACACUAUGGACAAUUUAGAGAUGCCAGUCGACCCAGAACCUUGAUCUUUAUACUGGAGGAAGAAACCAGAACACCCAAAGAAAACACCUGCUCACAAAAGGCGGAGGUGUUAAGCAAACAAGCCCCCCCCCAACAUCCCCACUUUCAACUUCUACUGAAUUAUAUAAAUGUGUGAAAUGUCAUGUAGGAUUGCGAGGGUGUGUACUGUGGGUGGAUACAGAAGCAAAAUGACACUUCAUAUUUACAAAUGUCUCACAUCAAAAUCUAAAUUUGUCAUUUGUGAUUAAAGACGUGACAGAUAACACUGUGAAUGUUAAAUGAAUAUUUAAUAUAAUUUAAUAAGCCAACAAAAUAUAUGAA